Molecule: ribosomal RNA, 503 nt
Filed under: uncultured bacterium
Lineage: Bacteria
Description: partial 16S ribosomal RNA
Rfam family: Bacterial small subunit ribosomal RNA
Source: RNAcentral
GAUGAACGCUAGCGACAGGCUUAACACAUGCAAGUCGAGGGGCAGCACGGUGUAGCAAUACAUUGGUGGCGACCGGCGCACGGGUGAGUAACGCGUAUGCAACCUACCUAUCAGAGGGGAAUAACCCGGCGAAAGUCGGACUAAUACCGCAUAAAACAGGGGUUCCACAUGAAAAUGUUUGUUAAAGAUUUAUCGCUGAUAGAUGGGCAUGCGUUCCAUUAGAUAGUUGGUGAGGUAACGGCUCACCAAGUCUACGAUGGAUAGGGGUUCUGAGAGGAAGGCCCCCCACACUGGUACUGAGACACGGACCAGACUCCUACGGGAGGCAGCAGUGAGGAAUAUUGGUCAAUGGGCGAGAGCCUGAACCAGCCAAGUCGCGUGAAGGAUGAAGGAUCUAUGGUUUGUAAACUUCUUUUAUAUGGGAAUAAAGUGAGGAACGUGUUCCUUUUUGUAUGUACCAUAUGAAUAAGCAUCGGCUAACUCCGUGCCAGCAGCCGCGGUAA